This 460-nucleotide ribosomal RNA is filed under the name uncultured bacterium. RNAcentral's name for it is "partial 16S ribosomal RNA". It matches the Rfam family "Bacterial small subunit ribosomal RNA", at positions 338 to 795 of the family's 1533-position model. The record is from RNAcentral.
CCUACGGGUGGCAGCAGUGAGGAAUAUUGGUCAAUGGCCGGAAGGCUGAACCAGCCAUGCCGCGUGAAGGUCAGUGCCCUAUGGGCGUUAAACUUCUUUUGUGCGGGAGCAAUAAUGGUCACGUGUGGCCAGACGAGAGUACCGUACGAAUAAGCAUCGGCUAACUCCGUGCCAGCAGCCGCGGUAAUACGGGGGAUGCAAGCGUUAUCCGGAGUUAUUGGGUUUAAAGGGGGCGUAGGCUGUGAGGUAAGUCAGCGGUGAAAUGCCCCCGCUCAACGGGGUGAAGUGCCAUUGAUACUGCCUGGCUGGAAUGCGGAUGCCGUGGGAGGAAUGUGUGGUGUAGCGGUGAAAUGCAUAGAUAUCACACAGAACACCGAUUGCGAAGGCAUCUCACGAAUCCGCGAUUGACGCUGAUGCACGAAAGCGUGGGUAUCAAACAGGAUUAGAUACCCUUGUAGUC